Molecule: transfer RNA, 64 nt
Filed under: Daphnia laevis
Lineage: Eukaryota; Metazoa; Arthropoda; Branchiopoda; Diplostraca; Daphniidae
Description: tRNA-Pro
Source: RNAcentral
CAAAAAGUAGUUUAAUAAGAAUUAGAGCUUUGGGAGCUUUAGGUGUAGGAUUCUAUCUUUUUGA